This 492-nucleotide ribosomal RNA is filed under the name uncultured bacterium. Its description in RNAcentral is "partial 16S ribosomal RNA". It matches the Rfam family "Bacterial small subunit ribosomal RNA", at positions 29 to 507 of the family's 1533-position model. The record is from RNAcentral.
AGUGAACGCUGGCGGUAGGCCUAACACAUGCAAGUCGAACGGCAGCACAGUAAGAGCUUGCUCUUACGGGUGGCGAGUGGCGGACGGGUGAGGAAUACAUCGGAAUCUACUUUUUCGUGGGGGAUAACGUAGGGAAACUUACGCUAAUACCGCAUACGACCUACGGGUGAAAGCAGGGGAUCUUCGGACCUUGCGCGAUUGAAUGAGCCGAUGUCGGAUUAGCUAGUUGGCGGGGUAAAGGCCCACCAAGGCGACGAUCCGUAGCUGGUCUGAGAGGAUGAUCAGCCACACUGGAACUGAGACACGGUCCAGACGCCUACGGGAGGCAGCAGUGGGGAAUAUUGGACAAUGGGCGCAAGCCUGACCCAGCCAUACCGCGUGGGUGAAGAAGGCCUUCGGGUUGUAAAGCCCUUUUGUUGGGAAAGAAAAGCAGCAGGUUAAUACCCCGCUGUUCUGACGGUACCCAAAGAAUAAGCACCGGCUAACUUCGUG